RNAcentral lists this ribosomal RNA (333 nucleotides) under uncultured Leptolinea sp. RNAcentral describes it as "bacterial SSU rRNA". It matches the Rfam family "Bacterial small subunit ribosomal RNA", at positions 1035 to 1382 of the family's 1533-position model. The record is from RNAcentral. Lineage: Bacteria; Bacillati; Chloroflexota; Anaerolineae; Anaerolineales; Anaerolineaceae.
CAGGUGCUGCAUGGCUGUCGUCAGCUCGUGUCGUGAGAUGUUCGGUUAAGUCCGCUAACGAGCGCAACCCUCGCUGUGUGUUACAAGUGUCACACGGUACUGCCGGUCUUAAGCCGGAGGAAGGUGGGGAUGACGUCAAGUCAGCAUGGCCUUUAUGUCCUGGGCUACACACACGCUACAAUGGCCAACACAAUAGGUUGCUAAGCCGCGAGGUGGAGCCAAUCCUCAAAGUUGGUCUCAGUUCAGAUUGCAGGCUGCAACCCGCCUGCAUGAAGAUGGAGCUGCUAGUAACCGCAGGUCAGCUAUACUGCGGUGAAUACGUUCCCGGGGCUU